GACGAACGCUGGCGGCGUGCCUAAUACAUGCAAGUCGAACGCAGUGGGGACGGGUGAGUAACACGUGGGUAACCUCCCAUCAGAGGGGAUAACACUUGGAAACAGGUGCUAAACCGAUACUGAUGGAUGAACCCGCGGUGCAUUAGCUAGUUGGUGAGGUAACGGCUCACCAAGGCCACGAUGCAUAGCCGACCUGGGAGGGUGUUCGGCCAAACUUGGACUGUGACAAGGCCCAGACUAGUACGGGAGGCAGCAGUAGAGAAUCAUCGGGAAUGGACGAAAGUCUGACCGAGCGACGCCGCGUGAGUGAAGAAGGUUUACGGAUCGUAAAACUCUGUUGUUUGAGAAGCGGUAUCUAACCAUAAUGCCACGGCUAACUACGUGCCAGCAGCCGCGGUAAUAC
Molecule: ribosomal RNA, 403 nt
Filed under: uncultured bacterium
Lineage: Bacteria
Description: partial 16S ribosomal RNA
Rfam family: Bacterial small subunit ribosomal RNA
Source: RNAcentral